Molecule: ribosomal RNA, 803 nt
Filed under: uncultured bacterium
Lineage: Bacteria
Description: bacterial SSU rRNA
Rfam family: Bacterial small subunit ribosomal RNA
Source: RNAcentral
AGAGUUUGAUUCUGGCUCAGGACGAACGCUGGCGGCGCGCCUAACACAUGCAAGUCGAGCGGAGUUUUUAAGUGGAAGCUUUCGGGUGGAAAUUUUGAAACUUAGCGGCGGACGGGUGAGUAACACGUGAGCAACCUGCCUUUCAGAGGGGGAUAACGUUUGGAAACGAACGCUAAUACCGCAUGACACCGAGACGUCACAUGGCGAUUCGGUCAAAGGAGCAAUCCGCUGAAAGAUGGGCUCGCGUCCGAUUAGAUAGUUGGCGGGGUAACGGCCCACCAAGUCGACGAUCGGUAGCCGGACUGAGAGGUUGAUCGGCCACAUUGGGACUGAGACACGGCCCAGACUCCUACGGGAGGCAGCAGUGGGGGAUAUUGCACAAUGGAGGAAACUCUGAUGCAGCGACGCCGCGUGAGGGAAGACGGUUUUCGGAUUGUAAACCUCUGUCUUCAGGGACGAAAUAAUGACGGUACCUGAGGAGGAAGCUCCGGCUAACUACGUGCCAGCAGCCGCGGUAAUACGUAGGGAGCAAGCGUUGUCCGGAAUUACUGGGUGUAAAGGGAGCGUAGGCGGGAAUGCAAGUUGAAUGUCAAAUCUACCGGCUUAACUGGUAGCCGCGUUCAAAACUGCGUUUCUUGAGUGAAGUAGAGGCAGGCGGAAUUCCUAGUGUAGCGGUGAAAUGCGUAGAUAUCAGGAGGAACACCAGUGGCGAAGGCGGCCUGCUGGGGCUUUUACUGACGCUGAGGCUCGAAAGUGUGGGUAGCAAACAGGAUUAGAUACCCUGGUAGUCCACACUGUAAACG